This 23-nucleotide microRNA is filed under the name Salicornia europaea (common glasswort). RNAcentral's name for it is "seu-miR11038". The record is from miRBase by way of RNAcentral. Lineage: Eukaryota; Viridiplantae; Streptophyta; Magnoliopsida; Caryophyllales; Amaranthaceae.
GGGUUGGCCAACCCGAUCGGGUC